This 83-nucleotide small RNA is filed under the name Marmota monax (woodchuck). The record is from RNAcentral. Lineage: Eukaryota; Metazoa; Chordata; Mammalia; Rodentia; Sciuridae.
GCUGGGCAUGGUAGCACAUGCCUGUAAUCCCAGCAGCUUGGGAGGCUGAGGCAGGAGGAUGGUGAGUUCAAAGCCAGCCUCAG